GCCGGCGUGGCGGAAUUGGCAGACGCGCGGGACUCAAAAUUCCGUUCCCUCUGGGAGUGUCGGUUCGACCCCGACCGCCGGUA
RNAcentral lists this transfer RNA (83 nucleotides) under Planomicrobium sp. YIM 101495. It matches the Rfam family "tRNA". From Rfam's summary of the family: Transfer RNA (tRNA) molecules are approximately 80 nucleotides in length. Their secondary structure includes four short double-helical elements and three loops (D, anti-codon, and T loops). Further hydrogen bonds mediate the characteristic L-shaped molecular structure. tRNAs have two regions of fundamental functional importance: the anti-codon, which is responsible for specific mRNA codon recognition, and the 3' end, to which the tRNAs corresponding amino acid is attached (by aminoacyl-tRNA synthetases). tRNAs cope with the degeneracy of the genetic code in two manners: having more than one tRNA (with a specific anti-codon) for a particular amino acid; and 'wobble' base-pairing, i.e. permitting non-standard base-pairing at the 3rd anti-codon position. The record is from Rfam by way of RNAcentral. Lineage: Bacteria; Bacillati; Bacillota; Bacilli; Caryophanales; Caryophanaceae.